RNAcentral lists this long non-coding RNA (947 nucleotides) under Phasianus colchicus (ring-necked pheasant). Its description in RNAcentral is "lncRNA (ENSPCLG00000017753.1)". The record is from RNAcentral. Lineage: Eukaryota; Metazoa; Chordata; Aves; Galliformes; Phasianidae.
CACUGCUUCUGUUCCCGCUGCAGGACAUGGCCAAGAGUGCUGGGCUUCGCUGUUUCCAGUGCCCUCUGUGCAGAGACAGAGAGGUCUUUAUUCAAGAAAUGGUCAAUUUGGGGAUCCACAUCCCAGCCAGGUUAGUGUCCUUCAGCCAGCUCUCGAGACAUGAGGGCACAAGAGCUGUGCCAGCCCAAGGACUGUCCCGGCAGGCCUGGCCCUUUGCUGCCCGUGAUCAGUGGCCUCAGCUUCACACAUAUGGUGGAACGGCAGUCAGGCUGGAAGAGCAGGGAUGGCUUUGGCUGCUCUUAGUCUCGAGGCACUGGGAGCUCAUCACAUUCCCUCCCUUCUCUGGCAGAAAACCAAAGUGGGAGACCAACCGUGCCUACGCAUCCCUGGGAGUCAGGCACAGGAGCUGCAAUGCCAGCGACUGCCGUUCCCCACACGGCAGGGAUCGGGCAGAGGCAGAGGGGCCCUGGCAGCUGCUCCUCUGCAGCUCCUGUGCUGCACAAGGCACCCACAGACUCUGCUCCAACUUGAGUCCAAGGACAUCUGAAUGGGAGUGCAACGCCUGUGCUGGAGAGGGCACCGGUAAGAGGCAAACGGCCGCGUGCUGCUGGGCUGGGGCCAGGCGAGGCCUUGCUCAAGUCCCUUUGGCCCAUGACGAAUGGGACCCUGUCCCUCCCCAGCGCUGGAGAUCUGUCCCGCUCACCUUGCUGUCUCCCCUUCCAGCCUCCAGCACCAACGUGGACAGCGCUGGCCCCACCACCACCAGCCAGCAGGGACCGGGGCCAUCCCAAGGCCCCAUAGCACAGGAGAGCAGCAGCUCCGGCACCACCAACCAGGCACCGUCGGGACCAGAUCCCAGUUCCCAGGUGCCUGAGCUGCUCUCCAGGCAGGCAGGGCGGGCCCGGACUCGGAGCCGCUCGCCUCUCACACAUCGGGCUGCAGAGAAC